AUUUGAUUGUGGAGUAAUUGUUCUGAAAAUUAUGGAGUUGUGGGAUGACAUUGAGAAAUAUGAAAGAAACACAAUGCCCAGUUACACAACUGAAGAACUACAACAAGUUAGGGAGCAAUAUGUUUGUCAAUGGAUUUUGGAUGUGGACAACGUGCGGAGGAAUCAAGUGUUGGAAGAUUUAGGCAUUUUGUAGAAUGUUGGAGAUUAUUGAUGAAAGAAAACUUGUUACUUUUCAUAUUUAUGUAUUGGUUGGACAUCAAAUCUGAUUUCAGAAAUUGUUGAGAAAUAUAUUUGGCAGUUGAAAUUCA
Molecule: long non-coding RNA, 308 nt
Organism: Vigna angularis (adzuki bean)
Lineage: Eukaryota; Viridiplantae; Streptophyta; Magnoliopsida; Fabales; Fabaceae
Exons: 2
Source: RefSeq, a predicted model, not a curated record